Molecule: non-coding RNA, 67 nt
Organism: Heterocephalus glaber (naked mole-rat)
Lineage: Eukaryota; Metazoa; Chordata; Mammalia; Rodentia; Bathyergidae
Source: Rfam
GGGAAUAUGCUCAGUGGUAGAGCACCUAUCUAACACAUACAAGGCCCUGGGUUCAAUCCCAGUCCCA